Molecule: small nucleolar RNA, 175 nt
Filed under: Echinops telfairi (small Madagascar hedgehog)
Lineage: Eukaryota; Metazoa; Chordata; Mammalia; Afrosoricida; Tenrecidae
Description: Small nucleolar RNA SNORA73 family (ENSETEG00000022484.1)
Rfam family: Small nucleolar RNA SNORA73 family
About the family: U17 (SNORA73A and SNORA73B) also known as E1 belongs to the H/ACA class of small nucleolar RNAs (snoRNAs). Vertebrate U17 is intron-encoded and ranges in length from 200-230 nucleotides, longer than most snoRNAs.
Source: RNAcentral
CCAAUAAGACCUUUUGCCCUUUGGAGGAGCACAGGGCUCGGCGCCCCGUGAUGUACAGUCCUUUUCCACAACGUCGGAGAUGAAGCCGGGCCUGGAGCCUGCGCCUGCAUAUUCCUACAGCUUCUCAGAGUCCCGUGGACAAUGACUGAGGAGACAAACCAUGCAGGACACAGCC